AUUUUAUACUUAUUAAUUUGCUGUUGCGGCAAGUGUUGAGACAGCUGAGGAAGCCAUAUCGCCUGCUGAAACACGUCUUGUACAUUGUGUCUUGUACUAUGUGAAGAUACAAUAAAAUGUCAUUUACAUAUUGAACCUCCAUUUGUUGCUAAACGCCAGACUUUUAACAAUAAUCAGCUUCAGUAGUCUGCCAAGGGUUAUGCAAAUAUGAGGAGAUACUUGAAGAAAUCCAGACUACUGACCUAUUGCAACAGACUCACCUCUGCCUGAAUCACUGGUGCCAUCAGGGCUGUCUGGCCUGCUUGGCUAGCAGUUACCUAUACUGGGACCACUCUUUGGACAGCAACCUGGUAGCCUCAAGGAGCAGAAGUCCAGCUUUUACAUCCUGGAGAGAAUAGCCUAAUACUAAUAGAUCAAAGUAUAUUUAAGGCUAUUAUGUCAUUUAAUCAGGAUAAUUUCUUUG
This is a long non-coding RNA of Hyla sarda, 463 nucleotides long. RefSeq lists it as uncharacterized. The record is from RefSeq and is a predicted model, not a curated record. NCBI's taxonomy places the organism in Eukaryota, Metazoa, Chordata, Amphibia, Anura, Hylidae. The transcript has 3 exons.